Acomys russatus (golden spiny mouse) is the source of this 107-nucleotide small nuclear RNA. NCBI's taxonomy places the organism in Eukaryota, Metazoa, Chordata, Mammalia, Rodentia, Muridae. The record is from RefSeq and is a predicted model, not a curated record.
GUCCUUUCUGUGACAGCAUAGAUACAAAAAUUGGAACAAUACAGAGAAGAUUAGCACAGCCCCUGUGCAAGGGUGACAGGAAAAUUUGUGAAGCGUUCCAUAUUGAG